GAUGAACGCUGACAGCAUGCUUAACACAUGCAAGUCGAUGGGGAAGUGGUGCUUGCACCAUGGUAACCAUGGCGGACGGGUGAGUAACGCGUAAGGAACUUGCCUGCGGGACUGGGAUAACAGCAGGAAACUGCUGAUAAUACCGGAUAAGGGCAUUAAGCUGCAUAGCUUAGGGAUGAAAUGAGACGCCUGCGGAGGGCCUCGCGUCCUAUUAGCUAGUUGGAGGGGUAGUGGCUGACCAAGGCGAUGAUGGGUAGCCGGCCUGAGAGGGUGGCCGGCCACACUGGGACUGAGAUACGGCCCAGACUCCUACGGGAGGCAGCAGUGGGGAAGAUUGCACAAUGGGCGGAAGCCUGAGGCAGCAACGCCGCGUGCGGGAGGACGGCCUUCGGGUUGUAAACCGCUUGCGCCUGUGACGAAGCGUGAGUGACGGUAAUGGGUAAAGAAGCACCGGCUAACUACGUG
RNAcentral lists this ribosomal RNA (465 nucleotides) under uncultured bacterium. Its description in RNAcentral is "partial 16S ribosomal RNA". It matches the Rfam family "Bacterial small subunit ribosomal RNA", at positions 28 to 507 of the family's 1533-position model. The record is from RNAcentral.